GUACACUCCUGCGGGAGGCAGCAGUGGGGAAUAUUGCACAAUGGGCGCAAGCCUGAUGCAGCCAUGCCGCGUGUAUGAAGAAGGCCUUCGGGUUGUAAAGUACUUUCAGCGGGGAGGAAGGCAAUACGGUUAAUAACCGUGUUGAUUGACGUUACCCGCAGAAGAAGCACCGGCUAACUCCGUGCCAGCAGCCGCGGUAAUACGGAGGGUGCAAGCGUUAAUCGGAAUUACUGGGCGUAAAGCGCACGCAGGCGGUCUGUCAAGUCGGAUGUGAAAUCCCCGGGCUCAACCUGGGAACUGCAUUCGAAACUGGCAGGCUUGAGUCUUGUAGAGGGGGGUAGAAUUCCAGGUGUAGCGGUGAAAUGCGUAGAGAUCUGGAGGAAUACCGGUGGCGAAGGCGGCCCCCUGGACAAAGACUGACGCUCAGGUGCGAAAGCGUGGGGAGCAAACAGGAUUAGAUACCCUAGUAGUCCCAUGA
Molecule: ribosomal RNA, 478 nt
Filed under: uncultured organism
Description: partial 16S ribosomal RNA
Rfam family: Bacterial small subunit ribosomal RNA
Source: RNAcentral